RNAcentral lists this unclassified non-coding RNA (201 nucleotides) under uncultured fungus. Its description in RNAcentral is "sequence contains ITS1". The record is from RNAcentral. Lineage: Eukaryota; Fungi.
UUAACUAUUGUAUAGUACUCAGACGACACUAACGUUCAGGGUUUGGGGUCCUUUGGCGGGCGCGUACCAGCGGGGGCCGGUAGCCUGGCCGGGGCCUGGCGGCCCGCCAAAGCAACAAAGGUAACAAUAACACAGGGUGGGAGAUCUACCCGUGAGGGCACGAACUCUGUAAUGAUCCCUCCGCAGGUUCACCUACGGAGA